UCAGGCCUAACACAUGCAAGUCGAGGGGUAGAACACUUCGGUGUUUGAGACCGGCGCACGGGUGCGUAACGCGUAUGCAACCUACCUUUUACAGGGGAAUAGCCCAGAGAAAUUUGGAUUAAUGCCCCAUGGUAUAUUUAGAUGGCAUCAUCUGAUUAUUAAAGUUCCAACGGUAAAAGAUGGGCAUGCGUCCUAUUAGCUAGAUGGUAAGGUAACGGCUUACCAUGGCAACGAUAGGUAGGGGUCCUGAGAGGGAGAUCCCCCACACUGGUACUGAGACACGGACCAGACUCCUACGGGAGGCAGCAGUGAGGAAUAUUGGACAAUGGGCGCAAGCCUGAUCCAGCCAUGCCGCGUGCAGGAAGAAGCAUCUAUGGUGUGUAAAGCUGCUUUUGUACGGGAAGAAACACUCCUACGGUAGGAGCUGAC
RNAcentral lists this ribosomal RNA (429 nucleotides) under uncultured bacterium. Its description in RNAcentral is "bacterial SSU rRNA". It matches the Rfam family "Bacterial small subunit ribosomal RNA", at positions 42 to 473 of the family's 1533-position model. The record is from RNAcentral.